UUUUUAUUGAGAGUUUGAUCCUGGCUCAGGACGAACGCUGGCGGCGUGCUUAACACAUGCAAGUCGAGCGAUGAAG
This 76-nucleotide ribosomal RNA is filed under the name Clostridium beijerinckii. Its description in RNAcentral is "partial 16S ribosomal RNA". It matches the Rfam family "Bacterial small subunit ribosomal RNA", at positions 1 to 74 of the family's 1533-position model. Lineage: Bacteria; Bacillati; Bacillota; Clostridia; Eubacteriales; Clostridiaceae. The record is from RNAcentral.